RNAcentral lists this ribosomal RNA (526 nucleotides) under uncultured bacterium. RNAcentral's name for it is "bacterial SSU rRNA". It matches the Rfam family "Bacterial small subunit ribosomal RNA", at positions 984 to 1509 of the family's 1533-position model. The record is from RNAcentral.
ACAUCUAGAGAACUUAGCAGAGAUGCUUUGGUGCCUUCGGGAACUCUGAGACAGGUGCUGCAUGGCUGUCGUCAGCUCGUGUUGUGAAAUGUUGGGUUAAGUCCCGNAACGAGCGCAACCCUUAUCCUUUGUUGCCAGCGGUUCGGCCGGGAACUCAAAGGAGACUGCCGGUGAUAAACCGGAGGAAGGUGGGGAUGACGUCAAGUCAUCAUGGCCCUUACGGCCAGGGCUACACACGUGCUACAAUGGCGCAUACAAAGAGAAGCGACCUCGCGAGAGCAAGCGGACCUCAUAAAGUGCGUCGUAGUCCGGAUUGGAGUCUGCAACUCGACUCCAUGAAGUCGGAAUCGCUAGUAAUCGUAGAUCAGAAUGCUACGGUCGAAUACGUUCCCGGGCCUUGUACACACCGCCCGUCACACCAUGGGAGUGGGUUGCAAAAGAAGUAGGUAGCUUAACCUUCGGGAGGGCGCUUACCACUUUGUGAUUCAUGACUGGGGUGAAGUCGUAACAAGGUAAGCGUAGCGAG